AUACGGAAGGUCCGGGCGUUAUCCGGAUUUAUUGGGUUUAAAGGGAGCGCAGGCGGAGAUGCAAGCGUGACGUCAAAUUUCGGGGCUCAACCCCGUCUCGCGUCGCGAACUGCGUCCCUUGGUUGCGGGAAGGGGAGGCGGAACUCGUGGUGUAGCGGUGAAAUGCAUAGAUAUCACGAGGAACUCCGAUCGCGAAGGCAGCCUUCCGGCCCGUCAACGACGCUCAUGCUCGAAGGUGCGGGUAUCAAACAGGAUUAGAUACCCUGGUAGUCCACGCAGUAAACGAUGAUGGCUAACCGCUGGGCUUAUCAGUUCAGUGGCCAAGCGAAAGCGAUAAGCCAUCCACCUGGGGAGUACGACCGCAAGGUUGAAACUCAAAUGAAUUGGCGGGG
RNAcentral lists this ribosomal RNA (392 nucleotides) under uncultured bacterium. RNAcentral's name for it is "partial 16S ribosomal RNA". It matches the Rfam family "Bacterial small subunit ribosomal RNA", at positions 523 to 918 of the family's 1533-position model. The record is from RNAcentral.